Molecule: non-coding RNA, 72 nt
Organism: Podarcis lilfordi (Lilford's wall lizard)
Lineage: Eukaryota; Metazoa; Chordata; Lepidosauria; Squamata; Lacertidae
Source: the annotation of a GenBank genome assembly
UUUUAGCUCAGUGGGAUGAGCAUGAGACUCUUAAUCUCUGGGUCAUGGGUUCAAGCCCCAUGUUGGGCAAAA